AUAGAUGGGCUGGGGUGAGAGCAAACUGCUUCCACCCCAGGUGCUGAAGAGCUCCUCCCCGACCGGGGGUCUCUGUCUGGCCCCAGCAUCUGGACUCCAGUAGCAGCCAGUGGCUGCUGUGUUUACAGGGAGUGGACAAGCAAACCGAGGGGCUGCAGCCGGGAGGGGAGCACGGAGAAGGGCUCGGGACAGAGGGAGUUCGGAUUCUGGCCAUGCAGCCGGCACCAAAUCCUGGAGACCUAUGCAUGCUGCACAGCGUGGUCCUUGCUUCUGCGUUGCUUACCGAGGUGUUUGUUCAGCUAAACCCUCACCCAGAGCUAUGCCGGGAAAGGGAAAAGGCACCUACGCCGUCCUGUGUUGUCAUCCCGGCAAGAAGGGGCAGGAAGGCACUCCAGAGCUCGGAUGAAACCCUAGUGAGGACAGCCAGCAGCCAGCCCUGGAGUGCAGCGCUGAGACGAAAUCUGGGCUAAGGGCACACGAAGGAUGGGGCACUUGCCUGCCUGAGCUCCUGGGUUCUCCCUCAGCACCCACAAAAAUAGAUUUUUGAGUAAACACGUUUGGAACUCUACUGUCAAUGAAAGCUAUAAAGGCACGAGGGUGUGACAAUACUGCUCAGCAGGCUGUUUGCCUGCAGCAGGGAGUGGCCAUGGUCUCUUGCAUUUUAGUUCCAGUCCUUACAAACUUUGGGUUGCACUGCUGGAAUCCCUGUGAGGAAAUCAGCUCCCUCAACACCAGAGCCCAAGGAGAUUUUCAGAGUAUUCAAUGCAUCUGUUUUCCCAUCCCUUACGGAGACUCAGCACCAAAGGAAGUUACUCAUAGGAGAAAGUCUUUUUCAAUGGGAAAAAGAUGGCAGUACGAGAUGAUACGGAUCCUUUGAUGUAGACAUGCUAGGAAGGAAGCUGGGCCAGACACUGCGAGGCACUCACUCCUGCACAGCCACAGACCGGGGCUUUGGCCGAAGGCAGUGAGCCAUUGGUGUGGAGAGCAGUGUCCUGCACAGAGCAGGACCGCGGGGUCUUGUUGAUUCCCAGUGGUCUAAAGCCCAGGAAUUGUCAUCAGCGAGUGAGACGGCUUUACAAGGUGUUUCUGUCUGUGGUGGUCGUGGUUAACUCAUCCUAGAAGGGGCUUGCCUUGCUCUCCCUCCGCGGCCACUGCCCUGUGCAAGACACCUGGCCUGUGCUGGGGGCGCUGCAGGUGCUCAGCUCGGUUCAGGAACUGCAGAGGUACUCCUACUGCGGGGCAGCCUCUUGUGUACAUGUCCUGCCCUAGGUUAGGGCGGAAGGACUGUGGAUACUGGCCAUGCUGAAAGAGCACAAGAUGGAGGGAGAAGGAGCGAGAGCCAGCUCCAGUGGGGGGGAAACACACGAACACCAAACGCGCCAUGUGUCUAUCUAAGGUACCUUCAAAGAAGAGUCUGAAACUGCUUUUUCAAACAUUUCACCUCCGUGCACGCACGCAGUGAUCUACAUCGGGACGCGUAGGCCGCCCCUGGCGUGAAGGGAGUGGAACUGCGUCGACACAAG
RNAcentral lists this long non-coding RNA (1523 nucleotides) under Heterocephalus glaber (naked mole-rat). RNAcentral's name for it is "lncRNA (ENSHGLG00000042866.1)". The record is from RNAcentral. Lineage: Eukaryota; Metazoa; Chordata; Mammalia; Rodentia; Bathyergidae.